GACGAGCCACACAAACGUUAUUCGGAAUUACUGGGCGUAAAGCGCGCGUAGGCGGCUUUGCAAGUCGGGUGUGAAAUCCCCAGGCCUAACCUGGGAACUGCAUUCGAGACUGCAUGGCUAGAGUAUCGGAGAGGGAAGUGGAAUUUCAGGUGUAGCGGUGAAAUGCGUAGAUAUCUGAAGGAACAUCAGUGGCGAAAGCGACUUCCUGGACGAAUACUGACGCUCAUGUGCGAAAGCGUGGGGAGCAAACAGG
Molecule: ribosomal RNA, 253 nt
Filed under: uncultured bacterium
Lineage: Bacteria
Description: partial 16S ribosomal RNA
Rfam family: Bacterial small subunit ribosomal RNA
Source: RNAcentral